CGCCUUGCCAGCCCGCUCAGAAACUUAAAGGAAUUGACGGGGACCCGGCACAAGCGGUGGAUGAUGUGGAUUAAUUCGAUGCAACGCGAAAAACCUUACCUACCCUUGACAUGUACGGAACCCUGCUGAGAGGUGGGGGUGCUCGAAAGAGAGCCGUAACACAGGUGCUGCAUGGCUGUCGUCAGCUCGUGUCGUGAGAUGUUGGGUUAAGUCCCGCAACGAGCGCAACCCUUGUCAUUAGUUGCUACGCAAGAGCACUCUAAUGAGACUGCCGGUGACAAACCGGAGGAAGGUGGGGAUGACGUCAAGUCCUCAUGGCCCUUAUGGGUAGGGCUUCACACGUCAUACAAUGGUCGGUACAGAGGGUCGCCAACCCGCGAGGGGGAGCCAAUCCCACAAAGCCGAUCGUAGUCCGGAUUGGAGUCUGCAACUCGACUCCAUGAAGUCGGAAUCGCUAGUAAUCGUGGAUCAGCAUGUCACGGUGAAUACGUUCCCGGGUCUU
RNAcentral lists this ribosomal RNA (502 nucleotides) under uncultured Methyloversatilis sp. RNAcentral's name for it is "bacterial SSU rRNA". It matches the Rfam family "Bacterial small subunit ribosomal RNA", at positions 903 to 1382 of the family's 1533-position model. The record is from RNAcentral. Lineage: Bacteria; Pseudomonadati; Pseudomonadota; Betaproteobacteria; Nitrosomonadales; Sterolibacteriaceae.